Molecule: long non-coding RNA, 2661 nt
Filed under: Homo sapiens (human)
Lineage: Eukaryota; Metazoa; Chordata; Mammalia; Primates; Hominidae
Description: HSALNT0122808
Source: RNAcentral
UGUCAGUCUUAGGAUCUCUGUUUUAAUGUUAAUGCUGGUCACUUGUACCUGAACUUCCUAAGAGAGAGGGUAUAGUGAGGUAUGUCUGACCCCCACCCCACCCCACUUCCUGUCAUGACCUGAACUAGUUUUUCAGGUUUCUUUCGAAUCUCCUUUGUUGAGAGGGGAUGCAUUCAGUCACUUGGGGGACUUUUAUUUUAUUUUUGGUUUACAAAAGUGAGGGAUAUCUGAGUCUAGAGCAGACUGAAGAGGAGGGGAAGUACAGUCCCCAGAUAAAGGCCUUCAGAUGUCAUCUCUCACUAGCAUGCAGGCCACAGCCCAGAGGGACAUGACACAGCAUUUUUAUUAGGCUUAAUGUUCCAGGCCAGGCACGGUGGCUCAUGCCUGUAAUCCCAGCACUUCAGGAAGCCGAGGAUACCAAGGAGAAGACUGAGCAUCACCCAAAGGCUUGGCAUACUCUCUGGGUUGUAUGCAGGAAGGCUGUGUCACCUUAGGUGCAGAACAAGCAAUUCUGAACAUUCUGCAAGCCAGCGGCAGAUGUGUAGAGGGCACACUGCUGAUUCUGUAAAUAGAAUCUUGAAAUGUGACAAAAUACAGGAUUUAUAAAUGGCAAUGGUUUGCCUGGGAGACUUCAGCAUUUCCAAGGGCUUCCCAGGAAGACUCUGCACCCUGCUCUGCCGUCCCUGCUAGGCUAAUGCCCUGUCAACCUUGAAGUCUUACCUUAAGGGAACAUCUGCACCUUGCCCAUUUCUAGGUGAUUCAAGAAAGCUUUUUGGUGUUUAUUCUGUCUAAAGUGAAAUAAUUAAUAUUAUUGUGAAUGGUGUUGCAAUUAUAAAUUCAGAUAAAAAGUUCUAUAUAUAUAUAUUUUUAAAAACAAAUAUUUCUUGGUUAUUCAAAUCAUCCUAAAAUAAAUGUUUUCCUUAUUAUAUUAAAAAAAACCUCUGGAGCAGAAAUGCACUUGAAUUGGUUGUUAUAAUGAUACAAUUCAUUCUGUGUCCAAACCAGCUACACAAUUCUACCAAUAAAAAUAAAACCUGCAGUUGAUAUAAAUAUGUUACACACACACAUUUAUUGUAGUUCAACUCCACAACUACCAAAUGCAUAAUGAAACUUACGUUGUCAUAUAGAUGAAUAGAUAGAUAGAUAGAUAGAUAGAUAAUGACUUAUCUAUUCAUGUAUAGGUGUCUGCAAUGGCAUUGGACAGUAUUUAAUGAGAGUCCUCCAAAAUUUAGUUUCAUACUAUUUAAAUUCUAUGGGAAAACUGUAGUAACAUUAUUAAAUAACUAAAAGCCCAUAUACUUUCAGCUUUAGAAAGGUGUAAUUAUUGAAAACAAAUUCUAAAAAGAGGAAGCACUAAAAUUUGCCUGAAAUAAGAAAGCAGCAGAAGGCCAGGCGCCGUGGCUCACCCCUGUAAUCUCAGCACUUUGGGAGGCCGAGGAGAGUGGAUCACUUGAGUCCAGGAGUUCCCUACAAAAAAAAAUUAAAAAAAAAAUUUGGCAUGGUGAUGUGUGCCUGUAGUCCCAGUUACUUGUGAGGCUGAGGUGGGAGGAUCACCUGAGCCUAGAAGGUCAAGGCUGCAGUGAGCCAUGAUCACAGUGCUGCACCCCAGCCUGGGUGACAGAGCAAAACCCUGUCUCAAAAAAAAAAAAAAAAAAGAAAAAAAAAGGCACUGGAGGAACUGAGCAAAUUAAAUCAAAUUAUAUAGCACAAGUGAUAGACAAGCAUUACUUUUUUUUAAAGAAGACUUUGGAAUCUGUAGGAAAAAUCUUCUGAUAGAAUGCUCAUAAUCAUUUGUGUUUUGUGGCUAAAUAUAAUUAAUUUGAGAGGUCUAUAAUUUUACAAAAUCUAAAAAUUUGCUGAAUCAGCCAACUGAAAAACAAAUAGAUAACAUUUCUGGUAAAGUUUAUUGUGAAAUAGGAGUAUAUGUGAAAAAUAGGUUUUCUGGAAGGGGAUAACCAAAUAUAUCUGUAAAAACAUUUGGGCUGAAAUAUUUAGACAUUUCAAUAAGAAAAGCAUUUGAAUUGACAAUGUCCUCCAUUUAGUAGCUUUUAUUUCCUGAGCUCAUGAGUUGUCUCAGCCUUCAUAAAGAAAACACUUUUCCUGUGGGCUAAAGAGCACUGUUGCUACUUACCACAUUCUGUCCUGACCAUCUCCUGAUGCCUACUAUCAAGCACAUGGAAUCUAUUUCCUGUCGAAACCUCUGCAGUGUAAAAUGUCAUAAUCUUCCUUCUACAAUUAACUUCAUAAGAAGAGCAAGCACUACGGCAGAUGUUACAACAUUUUGUUUUUCUUUGAAUUGUCAUGUGAUAUAUUACACAGUCAUACCUUACUCUGUGCAAGAAUUUGGAUCCUGGAACCAAGUAAUAAUUUAAAUUUAGAAAUCUAAUAAAUAUUUUAACUUCAUAGCACUGUUUAAAGUUAUACACCCAUGAAUAUUUUAGAACUAAAAUGAAGACUUCUUCAUUUAUAUGAUUAAAAAUUGUACUGUUACUGUACACAGUUGCUUCAACUUAUAUGAUUGAAAAUUGUACUGUUACUGUACACUAUUGUCAAAACUUCCUUUUGCUUUUAAUAAAAAGCAAUUUCACCUCACAGGUUUACCUUUCUUUAGCACUUUCAUUGAAAUAACUGAAAUAUGUGUGUAAGCGUGUGUGUGUGUGU